UACGGGGGGGGCAAGCGUUGUUCGGAAUUACUGGGCGUAAAGGGCUCGUAGGUGGCCAACUAAGUCACACGUGAAAUCCCUCGGCUUAACCGGGGAACUGCGUGUGAUACUGGAUGGCUUGAGUUUGGGAGAGGGAUGCGGAAUUCCAGGUGUAGCGGUGAAAUGCGUAGAUAUCAGGAGGAACACCUGUGGUGUAGACAGCUUACUGGACCAUAACUGACGCUGAGGCACGAAAGCGUGGGUAGCAAACAGG
This 253-nucleotide ribosomal RNA is filed under the name uncultured bacterium. RNAcentral describes it as "partial 16S ribosomal RNA". It matches the Rfam family "Bacterial small subunit ribosomal RNA", at positions 524 to 776 of the family's 1533-position model. The record is from RNAcentral.